RNAcentral lists this ribosomal RNA (601 nucleotides) under Clostridium botulinum D/C. RNAcentral describes it as "partial 23S ribosomal RNA". It matches the Rfam family "Bacterial large subunit ribosomal RNA", at positions 805 to 1405 of the family's 2925-position model. The record is from RNAcentral. Lineage: Bacteria; Bacillati; Bacillota; Clostridia; Eubacteriales; Clostridiaceae.
UGAGCUGUGGAUAGCGGAGAAAUUCCAAUCGAACUCGGAGAUAGCUGGUUCUCCUCGAAAUAGCUUUAGGGCUAGCGUCGGGUAAUUGAGUAGUGGAGGUAGAGCACUGAAUGGGCUAGGGGCUGACAACAGUUACUGAACCCUAUCAAACUCCGAAUGCCAUAUACUUGUACCCCGGCAGUCAGACUACGAAUGAUAAGCUCCGUGGUCAAAAGGGAAACAGCCCAGACCAUCAGCUAAGGUCCCAAAGUGUAAGUUAAGUGGGAAAGGAUGUGGGAUUUCUAAGACAACUAGGAUGUUGGCUUAGAAGCAGCCACUCAUUUAAAGAGUGCGUAAUAGCUCACUAGUCGAGAGAUCCUGCGCCGAAGAUGUAACGGGGCUCAAACUUACCACCGAAGCUAUGGAUGUGUACUUUGUACACGUGGUAGAGGAGCUUUCUGUACAGGUUGAAGUCAUACCGUAAGGAGUGGUGGACAGUACAGAAGUGAGAAUGCUGGCAUAAGUAGCGAAAAACAAGUGAGAAUCUUGUUGACCGAAUAUCUAAGGUUUCCUGGGGAAGGCUCGUCCUCCCAGGGUUAGUCGGGACCUAAGCCGAGGCCGA